This 91-nucleotide transfer RNA is filed under the name Clostridia bacterium. RNAcentral describes it as "tRNA-Ser". It matches the Rfam family "tRNA". Rfam says of the family: Transfer RNA (tRNA) molecules are approximately 80 nucleotides in length. Their secondary structure includes four short double-helical elements and three loops (D, anti-codon, and T loops). Further hydrogen bonds mediate the characteristic L-shaped molecular structure. tRNAs have two regions of fundamental functional importance: the anti-codon, which is responsible for specific mRNA codon recognition, and the 3' end, to which the tRNAs corresponding amino acid is attached (by aminoacyl-tRNA synthetases). tRNAs cope with the degeneracy of the genetic code in two manners: having more than one tRNA (with a specific anti-codon) for a particular amino acid; and 'wobble' base-pairing, i.e. permitting non-standard base-pairing at the 3rd anti-codon position. The record is from RNAcentral. Lineage: Bacteria; Bacillati; Bacillota; Clostridia.
GGAGAGAUGUCCGAGCGGCCGAAGGAGCACGACUGGAAAUCGUGUGAACGCCUAAAACGUUCCGCGGGUUCAAAUCCCGCUCUCUCCGCCA